RNAcentral lists this unclassified non-coding RNA (325 nucleotides) under soil metagenome. RNAcentral's name for it is "partial contains 5.8S ribosomal RNA, internal transcribed spacer 2, and large subunit ribosomal RNA". The stretch from base 1 to 119 matches the Rfam family "5.8S ribosomal RNA", at positions 35 to 154 of the family's 154-position model. The record is from RNAcentral.
GAUGAAGAACGUAGCGAAAUGCGAUAAGUAAUGCGAAUUGCAGAAUCCGUGAAUCAUCGAAUCUUUGAACGCACAUUGCGCCCCUUGGUAUUCCGAGGGGCAUGCCUGUUCGAGCGUCAUAUUAACCACUCCCGCUUGCGGGGUCUUGGGCUUCGCCUCCGGGCGGGCCUUAAAAUCAGUGGCGGUGCCGUCGGGCUCUACGCGUAGUAAAUUUUCUCGCGAUAGGGUCCCGGUGGAUGCUUGCCAACAACCCCCAACUUCUUAAGGUUGACCUCGGAUCAGGUAGGGAUACCCGCUGAACUUAAGCAUAUCAAUAAGCGGAGGA